GAUGAACGCUAGCGGCAGGCCUAAUACAUGCAAGACGAACGGUAAGUUGAGUAGCAAUACUUGACCAAGAGUGUCGUAAGGGUGCGUAACACGUAUGCAAUCUGCCCUCAACAGGAGGAUAGCUCCCCGAAAGGGGAAUUAAUACUGCGUAAGAUUGUAGUUCGGCAUCGGACAGCAAUUAAAACCGAGGUGGUUGAGGAUGAGCAUGCGCAUGAUUAGUUAGUUGGCGGGGUAACGGCCCACCAAGACGAUGAUCAUUAGGGGAACUGAGAGGUUGAUCCCCCGCACUGGCACUGAGAUACGGGCCAGACUCCUACGGGAGGCAGCAGUAGGGAAUAUUGGACAAUGGGUGCGAGCCUGAUCCAGCCAUGCCGCGUGCAGGAAGACGGCCUUCUGGGUUGUAAACUGCUUUUGCCAGGGGAUAAAAAGUCCCUGCGGGGAAAAUUGAAGGUACCUGGUGAAUAAGCCACGGCUAACUACGUGCCAGCAGCCGCGGUAAAG
Molecule: ribosomal RNA, 501 nt
Filed under: uncultured bacterium
Lineage: Bacteria
Description: bacterial SSU rRNA
Rfam family: Bacterial small subunit ribosomal RNA
Source: RNAcentral